GACGAACGCUGGCGGCGUGCUUAACACAUGCAAGUCGAACGGAAAGGCCCUGCUUUUGUGGGGUGCUCGAGUGGCGAACGGGUGAGUAACACGUGAGUAACCUGCCCUUGACUUUGGGAUAACUUCAGGAAACUGGGGCUAAUACCGGAUAGGAGCUCCUGCUGCAUGGUGGGGGUUGGAAAGUUUCGGCGGUUGGGGAUGGACUCGCGGCUUAUCAGCUUGUUGGUGGGGUAGUGGCUUACCAAGGCUUUGACGGGUAGCCGGCCUGAGAGGGUGACCGGCCACAUUGGGACUGAGAUACGGCCCAGCCUCCUACGGGAGGCAGCAGUGGGGAAUAUUGCACAAUGGGCGGAAGCCUGAUGCAGCAACGCCGCGUGCGGGAUGACGGCCUUCGGGUUGUAAACCGCUUUCGCCUGUGACGAAGCGUGAGUGGCGGUAAUGGGUAAAGAAGCACCGGCUAACUCCGUG
This 468-nucleotide ribosomal RNA is filed under the name uncultured bacterium. RNAcentral describes it as "partial 16S ribosomal RNA". It matches the Rfam family "Bacterial small subunit ribosomal RNA", at positions 28 to 507 of the family's 1533-position model. The record is from RNAcentral.